RNAcentral lists this transfer RNA (84 nucleotides) under Spirochaetota bacterium. RNAcentral describes it as "Spirochaetes bacterium (wastewater metagenome) tRNA-Leu". It matches the Rfam family "tRNA". Rfam says of the family: Transfer RNA (tRNA) molecules are approximately 80 nucleotides in length. The record is from RNAcentral. Lineage: Bacteria; Pseudomonadati; Spirochaetota.
GCCCAAGUGGUGGAAUUGGUAGACACAAGGGACUUAAAAUCCCUCGGACUUCGGUCUGUGCCGGUUCAAGUCCGGCCUUGGGCA